UUCAGUCAUGGUUUUUUGUGGA
This 22-nucleotide microRNA is filed under the name Xenopus laevis (African clawed frog). Its description in RNAcentral is "Xla-Mir-725-P2_3p (mature (guide))". Lineage: Eukaryota; Metazoa; Chordata; Amphibia; Anura; Pipidae. The record is from RNAcentral.